GGGUUGUGAGGUUAAGCGACUAAGCGUACACGGUGGAUGCCCUGGCAGUCAGAGGCGAUGAAGGACGUGCUAAUCUGCGAAAAGCGUCGGUAAGGUGAUAUGAACCGUUAUAACCGGCGAUGUCCGAAUGGGGAAACCCAGUGCAAUUCGUUGCACUAUCGUUAACUGAAUACAUAGGUUAACGAGGCGAACCGGGGGAACUGAAACAUCUAAGUACCCCGAGGAAAAGAAAUCAACCGAGAUUCCCCCAGUAGCGGCGAGCGAACGGGGAGCAGCCCAGAGUCUGAAUCAGCUUGUGUGUUAGUGGAACGGUCUGGAAAGUCCGACGGUACAGGGUGAUAGUCCCGUACACCAAAAUGCACAGGCUGUGAACUCGAAGAGUAGGGCGGGACACGUGGUAUCCUGUCUGAAUAUGGGGGGACCAUCCUCCAAGGCUAAAUACUCCUGACUGACCGAUAGUGAACCAGUACCGUGAGGGAAAGGCGAAAAGAACCCCGGCGAGGGGAGUGAAAAAGAACCUGAAACCGUGUACGUACAAGCAGUGGGAGCACCUUCGGGUGUGACUGCGUACCUUUUGUAUAAUGGGUCAGCGACUUAUAUUCUGUAGCAAGGUUAACCGUAUAGGGGAGCCGCAGGGAAACCGAGUCUUAACUGGGCGUUAAGUUGCAGGGUAUAGACCCGAAACCCGGUGAUCUAGCCAUGGGCAGGUUGAAGGUUGGGUAACACUAACUGGAGGACCGAACCGACUAAUGUUGAAAAAUUAGCGGAUGACUUGUGGCUGGGGGUGAAAGGCCAAUCAAACCGGGAGAUAGCUGGUUCUCCCCGAAAGCUAUUUAGGUAGCGCCUCGUGAACUCAUCUUCGGGGGUAGAGCACUGUUUCGGCUAGGGGGUCAUCCCGACUUACCAACCCGAUGCAAACUACGAAUACCGAAGAAUGUUAUCACGGGAGACACACGGCGGGUGCUAACGUCCGUCGUGAAGAGGGAAACAACCCAGACCGCCAGCUAAGGUCCCAAAGUCAUGGUUAAGUGGGAAACGAUGUGGGAAGGCACAGACAGCCAGGAUGUUGGCUUAGAAGCAGCCAUCAUUUAAAGAAAGCGUAAUAGCUCACUGGUCGAGUCGGCCUGCGCGGAAGAUGUAACGGGGCUAAACCAUGCACCGAAGCUGCGGCAGCGACACUAUGUGUUGUUGGGUAGGGGAGCGUUCUGUAAGCCUGCGAAGGUGACCUGUGAGGGUUGCUGGAGGUAUCAGAAGUGCGAAUGCUGACAUAAGUAACGAUAAAGCGGGUGAAAAGCCCGCUCGCCGGAAGACCAAGGGUUCCUGUCCAACGUUAAUCGGGGCAGGGUGAGUCGACCCCUAAGGCGAGGCCGAAAGGCGUAGUCGAUGGGAAACAGGUUAAUAUUCCUGUACUUGGUGUUACUGCGAAGGGGGGACGGAGAAGGCUAUGUUAGCCGGGCGACGGUUGUCCCGGUUUAAGCAUGUAGGCUGGUUAUCCAGGCAAAUCCGGAUAAUCAAGGCUGAGGUGUGAUGACGAGGCACUACGGUGCUGAAGUAACAAAUGCCCUGCUUCCAGGAAAAGCCUCUAAGCAUCAGGUAACAUUGAAUCGUACCCCAAACCGACACAGGUGGUCAGGUAGAGAAUACCAAGGCGCUUGAGAGAACUCGGGUGAAGGAACUAGGCAAAAUGGUGCCGUAACUUCGGGAGAAGGCACGCUGGUGUGUAGGUGAAGUCCCUGCGGAUGGAGCUGAGACCAGUCGAAGAUACCAGCUGGCUGCAACUGUUUAUUAAAAACACAGCACUGUGCAAACACGAAAGUGGACGUAUACGGUGUGACGCCUGCCCGGUGCCGGAAGGUUAAUUGAUGGGGUUAUCCGUAAGGAGAAGCUCUUGAUCGAAGCCCCGGUAAACGGCGGCCGUAACUAUAACGGUCCUAAGGUAGCGAAAUUCCUUGUCGGGUAAGUUCCGACCUGCACGAAUGGCGUAAUGAUGGCCAGGCUGUCUCCACCCGAGACUCAGUGAAAUUGAACUCGCUGUGAAGAUGCAGUGUACCCGCGGCAAGACGGAAAGACCCCGUGAACCUUUACUAUAGCUUGACACUGAACAUUGAGCCUUGAUGUGUAGGAUAGGUGGGAGGCUUUGAAGCGUGGACGCCAGUCUGCGUGGAGCCAACCUUGAAAUACCACCCUUUAAUGUUUGAUGUUCUAACGUUGGCCCCUGACCGGGGUUGCGGACAGUGUCUGGUGGGUAGUUUGACUGGGGCGGUCUCCUCCCAAAGCGUAACGGAGGAGCACGAAGGUUAGCUAAUCCUGGUCGGACAUCAGGAGGUUAGUGCAAUGGCAUAAGCUAGCUUGACUGCGAGCGUGACGGCGCGAGCAGGUGCGAAAGCAGGUCAUAGUGAUCCGGUGGUUCUGAAUGGAAGGGCCAUCGCUCAACGGAUAAAAGGUACUCCGGGGAUAACAGGCUGAUACCGCCCAAGAGUUCAUAUCGACGGCGGUGUUUGGCACCUCGAUGUCGGCUCAUCACAUCCUGGGGCUGAAGUAGGUCCCAAGGGUAUGGCUGUUCGCCAUUUAAAGUGGUACGCGAGCUGGGUUUAGAACGUCGUGAGACAGUUCGGUCCCUAUCUGCCGUGGGCGCUGGAGAAUUGAGGGGGGCUGCUCCUAGUACGAGAGGACCGGAGUGGACGCAUCACUGGUGUUCGGGUUGUCAUGCCAAUGGCACUGCCCGGUAGCUAAAUGCGGAAGAGAUAAGUGCUGAAAGCAUCUAAGCACGAAACUUGCCCCGAGAUGAGUUCUCCCUGAGACUUUAAGUCUCCUGAAGGAACGUUGAAGACGACGACGUUGAUAGGCCGGGUGUGUAAGCGCAGCGAUGCGUUGAGCUAACCGGUACUAAUGAACCGUGAGGCUUAACCUUACAACGCCGAAG
This 2923-nucleotide ribosomal RNA is filed under the name Klebsiella pneumoniae. RNAcentral describes it as "23S ribosomal RNA". It matches the Rfam family "Bacterial large subunit ribosomal RNA". The record is from RNAcentral. Lineage: Bacteria; Pseudomonadati; Pseudomonadota; Gammaproteobacteria; Enterobacterales; Enterobacteriaceae.